GUCUACGGCUAUGGCACCUUGAACAAGCCCAAUCCUGUCUGAUCUCGGAAACUAAGCAGAAUUGGGCCUGGUUAUUAUUUGGAUGGAGCCACCUAGGAAGACCAAGUGCUGUAGGUG
Molecule: ribosomal RNA, 117 nt
Filed under: Pteropus alecto (black flying fox)
Lineage: Eukaryota; Metazoa; Chordata; Mammalia; Chiroptera; Pteropodidae
Source: RNAcentral